This 479-nucleotide ribosomal RNA is filed under the name uncultured bacterium. RNAcentral's name for it is "SSU rRNA". It matches the Rfam family "Bacterial small subunit ribosomal RNA", at positions 26 to 516 of the family's 1533-position model. The record is from RNAcentral.
AGGACGAACGCUGGCGGCGUGCCUAACACAUGCAAGUCGAACGCGCUCCAUUCGGUAGCAAUACUGAUGAAGAGUGAGUGGCGAACGGGUGAGUAACACAUGAGCAACCUGCCCCGAAGACUGGGACAACACCGGGAAACCGGUGCUAAUACCGGAUAUCCCUAUCGGACCGCAUGAUCUGAUAAGGAAAUGGAUUCCGCUUCGGGAGGGGCUCGUGGCCUAUCAGCUAGUUGGUGAGGUAACGGCUCACCAAGGCAUCGACGGGUAGCUGGUCUGAGAGGACGAUCAGCCACACUGGGACUGAGACACGGCCCAGACUCCUACGGGAGGCAGCAGUGGGGAAUCUUGCGCAAUGGGCGAAAGCCUGACGCAGCAACGCCGCGUGGAGGACGAAGGCUUUCUGAGUUGUAAACUCCUUUCAGCAGGGACGAUAGUGACGGUACCUGCAGAGAAGCACGGCCAACUACGCGCCAGCACGG